This 253-nucleotide ribosomal RNA is filed under the name uncultured bacterium. RNAcentral's name for it is "partial 16S ribosomal RNA". It matches the Rfam family "Bacterial small subunit ribosomal RNA", at positions 524 to 776 of the family's 1533-position model. The record is from RNAcentral.
GACGUAGGGGGCGAGCGUUGUCCGGAUUUAUUGGGCGUAAAGCGUGCGUAGGCGGCUGCGCAAGUCGGGUGUGAAACCCCGGGGCUCAACCCCGGAACUGCAUCCGAUACUGCGUGGCUAGAGGUAGGUAGGGGAGAUCGGAAUUCCUGGUGUAGCGGUGAAAUGCGCAGAUAUCGAGAGGAACACCGGUGGCGAAGGCGGCGACCUGGACGAUGACUGACGCUGAGACGCGAAAGCGUGGGGAGCAAACAGG